Molecule: ribosomal RNA, 250 nt
Filed under: uncultured prokaryote
Description: partial 16S ribosomal RNA
Rfam family: Bacterial small subunit ribosomal RNA
Source: RNAcentral
UACGUAGGGGGCAAGCGUUAUCCGGAUUUACUGGGUGUAAAGGGAGCGUAGGCGGCGUUGCAAGUCAGAUGUGAAACCCCGGGGCUUAACUCCGGGACUGCAUUUGAAACUGCGAUGCUAGAGUGCGGGAGAGGUAAGCGGAAUUCCUAGUGUAGCGGUGAAAUGCGUAGAUAUUAGGAAGAACACCGGUGGCGAAGGCGGCUUACUGGACCGUAACUGACGCUGAGGCUCGAAAGCGUGGGGAGCAAAC